UACGUAGGGGGCAAGCGUUGUCCGGAUUUACUGGGCGUAAAGCGCGUGUAGGCGGCCACGCAGGUCCGUUGUGAAAACUGGAGGCUCAACUUCCAGACGUCGACGGAAACCGUGUGGCUAGAGUCCGGAAGAGGAGAGUGGAAUUUCUGGUGUAGCGGUGAAAUGCGCAGAUAUCAGGAAGAACACCAAUGGCGAAGGCAGCUCUCUGGGACGGUACUGACGCUGAGUCGCGAAAGCGUGGGGAGCGAACAGG
Molecule: ribosomal RNA, 253 nt
Filed under: uncultured bacterium
Lineage: Bacteria
Description: partial 16S ribosomal RNA
Rfam family: Bacterial small subunit ribosomal RNA
Source: RNAcentral